RNAcentral lists this ribosomal RNA (435 nucleotides) under uncultured bacterium. Its description in RNAcentral is "partial 16S ribosomal RNA". It matches the Rfam family "Bacterial small subunit ribosomal RNA", at positions 29 to 507 of the family's 1533-position model. The record is from RNAcentral.
AGCGAACGCUGGCGGCAGGCUUAACACAUGCAAGUCGAACGGGCAUCUUCGGAUGUCAGUGGCAGACGGGUGAGUAACACGUGGGAACGUACCCUUCGGUUCGGAAUAACUCAGGGAAACUUGAGCUAAUACCGGAUACGCCCUUUUGGGGAAAGGUUUACUGCCGAAGGAUCGGCCCGCGUCUGAUUAGCUUGUUGGUGGGGUAACGGCCUACCAAGGCGACGAUCAGUAGCUGGUCUGAGAGGAUGAUCAGCCACACUGGGACUGAGACACGGCCCAGACUCCUACGGGAGGCAGCAGUGGGGAAUAUUGGACAAUGGGCGCAAGUCUGAUCCAGCCAUGCCGCGUGAGUGAUGAAGGCCUUAGGGUUGUAAAGCUCUUUUGUCCGGGACGAUAAUGACGGUACCGGAAGAAUAAGCCCCGGCUAACUUCGUG